GACGAACGCUGGCGGCGUGCUUAACACAUGCAAGUCGAACGGAAAGGCCCUGCUUUUGUGGGGUGCUCGAGUGGCGAACGGGUGAGUAACACGUGAGUAACCUGCCCUUGACUUUGGGAUAACUUCAGGAAACUGGGGCUAAUACCGGAUAGGAGCUCCUGCUGCAUGGUGGGGGUUGGAAAGUUUCGGCGGUUGGGGAUGGACUCGCGGCUUAUCAGCUUGUUGGUGGGGUAGUGGCUUACCAAGGCUUUGACGGGUAGCCGGCCUGAGAGGGUGACCGGCCACAUUGGGACUGAGAUACGGCCCAGACUCCUACGGGAGGCAGCAGUGGGGAAUAUUGCACAAUGGGCGGAAGCCUGAUGCAGCAACGCCGCGUGCGGGAUGACGGCCUUCGGGUUGUAAACCGCUUUCGCCUGUGACGAAGCGUGAGUGACGGUAAUGGGUAAAGAAGCACCGGCUAACUACGUGCCAGCAGCCGCGGUGAUACGUAGGGUGCGAGCGUUGUCCGGAUUUAUUGGGCGUAAAGGGCUCGUAGGUGGUUGAUCGCGUCGGAAGUGUAAUCUUGGGGCUUAACCCUGAGCGUGCUUUCGAUACGGGUUGACUUGAGGAAGGUAGGGGAGAAUGGAAUUCCUGGUGGAGCGGUGGAAUGCGCAGAUAUCAGGAGGAACACCAGUGGCGAAGGCGGUUCUCUGGGCCUUUCCUGACGCUGAGGAGCGAAAGCGUGGGGAGCGAACAGGCUUAGAUACCCUGGUAGUCCACGCUGUAAACGGUGGGUACUAGGUGUGGGGUCCAUUCCACGGGUUCCGUGCCGUAGCUAACGCUUUAAGUACCCCGCCUGGGGAGUACGGCCGCAAGGCUAAAACUCAAAGGAAUUGACGGGGCCCCGCACAAGCGGCGGAGCAUGCGGAUUAAUUCGAUGCAACGCGUAGAACCUUACCUGGGUUUGACAUGGAUCGGGAGCGCUCAGAGAUGGGUGUGCCUCUUUUGGGGUCGGUUCACAGGUGGUGCAUGGCUGUCGUCAGCUCGUGUCGUGAGAUGUUGGGUUAAGUCCCGCAACGAGCGCAACCCUUGUUCACUGUUGCCAGCACGUUAUGGUGGGGACUCAGUGGAGACCGCCGGGGUCAACUCGGAGGAAGGUGGGGAUGACGUCAAGUCAUCACGCCCCUUAUGUCCAGGGCUUCACGCAUGCUACAAUGGCUGGUACAGAGAGUGGCGAGCCUGUGAGGGUGAGCGAAUCUCGGAAAGCCGGUCUCAGUUCGGAUUGGGGUCUGCAACUCGACCUCAUGAAGUCGGAGUCGCUAGUAAUCGCAGAUCAGCAACGCUGCGGUGAAUACGUUCCCGGG
This 1343-nucleotide ribosomal RNA is filed under the name uncultured bacterium. RNAcentral's name for it is "16S ribosomal RNA". It matches the Rfam family "Bacterial small subunit ribosomal RNA", at positions 28 to 1378 of the family's 1533-position model. The record is from RNAcentral.